This 876-nucleotide ribosomal RNA is filed under the name uncultured marine group I thaumarchaeote. Its description in RNAcentral is "bacterial SSU rRNA". It matches the Rfam family "Archaeal small subunit ribosomal RNA", at positions 21 to 904 of the family's 1478-position model. The record is from RNAcentral. Lineage: Archaea; Thermoproteati; Nitrososphaerota.
CCUGACUGCUAUCGGAUUGAUACUAAGCCAUGCGAGUCAUUGUAGCAAUACAAGGCAGACGGCUCAGUAACGCGUAGUCAACCUAACCUAUGGACGGGAAUAACCUCGGGAAACUGAGUAUAAUGCCCGAUAGAACAUUAUGCCUGGAAUGGUUUAUGUUCCAAAUGAUUUAUCGCCGUAGGAUGGGACUGCGGCCUAUCAGUUUGUUGGUGAGGCAAUGGCCCACCAAGACUAUUACAGGUACGGGCUCUGAGAGGAGUGGCCCGGAGAUGGGUACUGAGACACGGACCCAGGCCCUAUGGGGCGCAGCAGGCGAGAAAACUUUGCAAUGUGCGAAAGCACGACAAGGUUAAUCCGAGUGGUUUCUGCUAAAGGAACCUUUUGUCAGUCCUAGAAACACUGAUGAAUAAGGGGUGGGCAAGUUCUGGUGUCAGCCGCCGCGGUAAAACCAGCACCUCAAGUGGUCAGGAUGAUUAUUGGGCCUAAAGCAUCCGUAGCCGGCUUUGUUAGUUUUCGGUUAAAUCUGUACGCUUAACGUACAGGCUGCCGGGAAUACUGCAGAGCUAGGGAGUGGGAGAGGUAGACGGUACUCGGUAGGAAGGGGUAAAAUCCUUUGAUCUAUUGAUGACCACCUGUGGCGAAGGCGGUCUACCAGAACACGUCCGACGGUGAGGGAUGAAAGCUGGGGGAGCAAACCGGAUUAGAUACCCGGGUAGUCCCAGCUGUAAACUAUGCAAACUCAGUGAUGCAUUGGCUUGUAGCCAAUGCAGUGCUGCAGGGAAGCCGUUAAGUUUGCCGCCUGGGAAGUACGUACGCAAGUAUGAAACUUAAAGGAAUUGGCGGGGGAGCACCACAAGGGGUGAAGCCUGCGGGUUC